AGUGGCGGACGGGUGAGUAACGCGUGAGAAUCUGCCCUUUGGAUGGGGAUAACGACUGGAAACGGUCGCUAAUACCCAAUAUGCCGAGAGGUGAAACUUAUAUGGCCAGAGGAUGAGCUCGCGUCUGAUUAGCUAGUUGGAGUGGUAACGGCACACCAAGGCGACGAUCAGUAGCUGGUCUGAGAGGAUGAUCAGCCACACUGGGACUGAGACACGGCCCAGACUCCUACGGGAGGCAGCAGUGGGGAAUUUUCCGCAAUGGGCGAAAGCCUGACGGAGCAAGACCGCGUGAGGGAGGAAGGCCUACUGGUUGUAAACCUCUUUUGAUAGGGAAGAAGAAAGUGACGGUACCUAUCGAAUCAGCAUCGGCUAACUCCGUGCCAGCAGCCGCGGUAAUACGGAGGAUGCAAGCGUUAUCCGGAAUUAUUGGGCGUAAAGCGUCCGUAGGUGGUUAUUCAAGUCAGCUGUCAAAGGAUGGAGCUUAACUCCAUAAAGGCAGUUGAAACUGUGUAGCUAGAGUGCGAUAGGGGCAAGGGGAAUUCCCAGUGUAGCGGUGAAAUGCGUAGAUAUUGGGAAGAACAUCGGUGGCGAAAGCGCCUUGCUGGGUCUGCACUGACACUGAGGGACGAAAGCUAGGGGAGCGAAAGGGAUUAGAUACCCCUGUAGUCUUAGCUGUAAACGAUGGAUACUAGGCGUUG
Molecule: ribosomal RNA, 698 nt
Filed under: uncultured Oscillatoriales cyanobacterium
Lineage: Bacteria; Bacillati; Cyanobacteriota; Cyanophyceae; Oscillatoriales
Description: bacterial SSU rRNA
Rfam family: Bacterial small subunit ribosomal RNA
Source: RNAcentral